RNAcentral lists this ribosomal RNA (550 nucleotides) under uncultured fungus. RNAcentral's name for it is "eukaryotic LSU rRNA". The stretch from base 132 to 285 matches the Rfam family "5.8S ribosomal RNA". Lineage: Eukaryota; Fungi. The record is from RNAcentral.
AACUCCCAAACCCUAUGUGAACUUACCACUUGUUGCUUCGGCGCGCGCUUCGGCGCCGCCGAGGACACUUAAACUCUUUGUUUUUAUAAGCAUUUCUGAGUGGCCGAAAGGCAAAAAUACAAAUGAAUCAAAACUUUCAACAACGGAUCUCUUGGUUCUGGCAUCGAUGAAGAACGCAGCGAAAUGCGAUAAGUAAUGUGAAUUGCAGAAUUCAGUGAAUCAUCGAAUCUUUGAACGCACAUUGCGCCCGCCAGCAUUCUGGCGGGCAUGCCUGUUCGAGCGUCAUUUCAACCCUCGAGCCCGACUCUUUUGAGGACGGCUCGGCGUUGGGGGACGGCAGACUCCCCCCGGCAUCUCGCCGGGGACGCCGCCCCCGAAAUCUAGUGGCGGCCCUCCGAGGCGACCUCUGCGUAGUAACUUGUUCUCGCACCGGAAAGCUCAGAGCGGCCACGCCGUAAAACCCCAACUUUUUUCAGGUUGACCUCGAAUCAGGUAGGACUACCCGCUGAACUUAAGCAUAUCAAAACUCCCAAACCCUAUGUGAACUUAC